This is a long non-coding RNA of Vidua macroura (Pin-tailed whydah), 387 nucleotides long. RefSeq lists it as uncharacterized. The record is from RefSeq and is a predicted model, not a curated record. NCBI's taxonomy places the organism in Eukaryota, Metazoa, Chordata, Aves, Passeriformes, Viduidae. The transcript has 3 exons.
AGAACUCACAUAGUUCCACAUUAGAAUCAUAGUGUUUGACAAGAAAUCCUGCCUCUUGUCUUUUUCUUCCAAGUUUUAGGCAAUCAAGUGCUCCUGAAACCUAGAAAUCCAGCAUGUCUGAAAGCAUUUCUUUUUCAUGGAAUAGACCAGACAAUAGACAUUUGAACAAAGCCCUUGAUGCAACGGCAGUUUUUGGCAAGACUCCCAGGAUUUUUGGAACUGCUCCAGAAUUAAUUAAGAAACUAUUGUUAAUGACCACAGAUACCAGUCAUCUCUGAAGGAAGUAGAAAAUGGUAGUCUGCAGAAUAAACAUGAUGCCAUUUGUAGAUUCUUUUUAAUCAAAAUACUCGAACUGAGAAAAUUACUCAAUAAACAUGAUGAGCAAAU